UAUCCGCUGCGCGGUUUGUGAGGUCUCGAAUAUCCCGGGGGCGAUAACAUUUCUCAGGGAACUGUCCCUGUUGGGGUCGUGGCCCCAGCAUAUGGUACCCACCUGGUUAUCCAGGUCCCAUGAGGAUGUACUCGAUCAACGGCCGUCGCGGCGGUGUU
RNAcentral lists this non-coding RNA (158 nucleotides) under Rhodospirillaceae bacterium. RNAcentral's name for it is "6S RNA". It matches the Rfam family "6S / SsrS RNA". From Rfam's summary of the family: E. coli 6S RNA was the first non coding RNA to be sequenced, but its function was unknown until recently. The record is from RNAcentral. Lineage: Bacteria; Pseudomonadati; Pseudomonadota; Alphaproteobacteria; Rhodospirillales; Rhodospirillaceae.